CUUCUCAGCCCGGCGGCUCCGCCGCAGUCAUCACCACCACAGCCCUCAUCUCCAAAGCCUUCCACGUCUACACCCAAAACCCCCAAAUCUCUCUGAAAUCCUCUCCCUUUUGUGUAACACGACAACAACCAACGGGCUGCCGCAUCAGCCCUCAUACCCACUGUCACCGCCGCCCAGCCGCCCUCCACCGCCUCCAUCCAGGGCCGUCUUUGAGGGCGGGCGAGCAUGGGCGACCGCCCAGGGCCCAUGAUUUUCGGGGGCCCAAAUUUUUUUAUAUCCUAUUAUAUAUACUAUAUUAUUAUAGGCCCUUUUUUUUUGUUAUCUGCCAAAAAAAAAUUAAGGCCCUAAAAAUUUACAUUCCAUAUAAAUUUUGUAGCCCAAAAAAUUAUAUUCCCAAGUACUAUCUUUUAAUCUGAUAUGCGAAGAUAAAUUACCUAGUGGCCCAAGUAUCUUUUAAUUAAAGCAAAUUAGCGUAAUUGCGUCUUUAAUUCUGCCGCUGCAACGCUUCGUCUCUCCCGCAGUCCUAGCUAUUCUUCAUCUUCUUCUCCAGAAUCCAGCCGUUCUCUCAAAAAUCUUUUCCCAAUAAUUUUUGAACCGUUAGAAUCAUGAAGAUAAAUAGGAGAAAUUAUAGAUUGUAUUAAUUAUCCUACAGUUUUAUCUUGUUCUUCAUAUUUCAAUCUUCAAUUCCUUGCCCAAAGUAAUCGCUUUCGCUUUGCAAUCUCAGACUCAGUUACCUAAAUUCUGAAAUUCGUUGGUCCAAAAUUGUAAGAUUCUUUUGAAGAAUCGAAGAACUCAGAAGUCAGGAAAUACAAGAAAAUCUUAGAGGCUUCUGAGAAUCUGAAUUCUGAUCUGUUGAAAUUCGUUGGUCCAAAAUUCCAACUUUCGGUUAGUCUCUUUUUAACCUUUCUUUUGUUUUAUUGUUUAUUGUUUUGUAAAUGCAUGUAUUUGUUUUAUUAUUUAUCCAACUAUCGGUUAAUGCUUGUAACUUGUUUAUCCAAUUCCAAUUUCCAACUAUCUGUUAGCAUAUAUAAUCUAACAUUAUAUUAAUUAUUUUUCAGAUUUUGAUCUCAAAUAGUUUGGGAAUUGGGAUAAUUCAAAGUGCAAUAAUCGUCAAUCUGAUAUUUGAUAUCUCAACCAUUUACCAUUAAUUUAUCCAGGUGUGCCAUUGUUCUUUUAUUAUUGUCUUAUCAUUGAUUUUGUUUGAUGAUUUGAGCUAUAGCCUAUAUCAAAGUUUUAUUUUAUAUAAUUGUUGUGGUUUGACCGAUUGAGUAUUAAGCAUGAUUCCUAAGAAACACAUUAAACACAUUUCUGGAAGUGAGAAAAGGAAAAAAAGAAAAAGAUUAGAAGAACUCACUAAAUCGCAAAAAGGUGAUAUUGAUAAAUUUUUUGCUAAAAUAGUGAUAAAGUUGAAAAUUCGCAUGUGAAUAAUGCUGAAAAAAAUGUGAAUUCAAGUGUGUUGGUUGAAGUUGAUGAUAUUUGUGAGAAUAGAGAUAACUUGAGCGAGCAUGAAAAUAUUCUUAGAAAUUUUAAAUGGUUUAGCUAGCAAUUUUAUGUAUUGAGAAAGAUAUCUUAGAAAGUCUUGAAACAAAUGAUAUUAUAGAUGACUUUGCAAGUCAAAAGGCGAGAAGAAGUCAUUUUUUGUAAUUACAAAUACCUUUUUUCUAUUGAAAUGUUAUUAUUUGACUUAAAAAAAAUGUUAUCUUUGUAUUUUUUGUAGUGUUACCUAAAUAGGGCCCAUUUUUAUCGUUUCGCCCUGGGCCCAUUUUUGAUCAGAAACGGCCCUGCCUCCAUCUCCCUCGCUUUAUUAUCAGAACGGGCAGCUGCCGCCGCCGCCCCUCUGCCCGGCUUCAGUCCCCA
RNAcentral lists this long non-coding RNA (1857 nucleotides) under Salvia miltiorrhiza (redroot sage). RNAcentral describes it as "long non-coding RNA (SMIL_LNC010966)". The record is from RNAcentral. Lineage: Eukaryota; Viridiplantae; Streptophyta; Magnoliopsida; Lamiales; Lamiaceae.